AUCCUGGCUCAGAUUGAACGCUGGCGGCAGGCCUAACACAUGCAAGUCGAACGGUAACAGGAGAAGCUUGCUCUUUGCUGACGAGUGGCGGACGGGUGAGUAAUGUCUGGGAAACUGCCUGAUGGAGGGGGAUAACUACUGGAAACGGUAGCUAAUACCGCAUAACGUCGCAAGACCAAAGAGGGGGACCUUCGGGCCUCUUGCCAUCGGAUGUGCCCAGAUGGGAUUAGCUAGUAGGUGGGGUAACGGCUCACCUAGGCGACGAUCCCUAGCUGGUCUGAGAGGAUGACCAGCCACACUGGAACUGAGACACGGUCCAGACUCCUACGGGAGGCAGCAGUGGGGAAUAUUGCACAAUGGGCGCAAGCCUGAUGCAGCCAUGCCGCGUGUAUGAAGAAGGCCUUCGGGUUGUAAAGUACUUUCAGCGGGAGGAAGGGAGUAAAGUUAAUACCUUUGCUCAUUGACGUUACCCGCAGAAGAAGCACCGGCUAACUCCGUGCCAGCCGCUGC
Molecule: ribosomal RNA, 510 nt
Filed under: uncultured bacterium
Lineage: Bacteria
Description: bacterial SSU rRNA
Rfam family: Bacterial small subunit ribosomal RNA
Source: RNAcentral